GGAUACCUACCGUAAUUCUAGAGCUAAUGCAUGCUUACAGACCCAACUCUUCGGACGGGUUGUGCUUAUUAUAUACCGAACCAACCCCCUUCGGGGGCUUUCAGUUGAUUCAUACUACUCCAGCGAAUCGCCCAUUGCAGGCGAUGAGUCUUUCAAGUUUCUGACCUAUCAGCUUCCGACGGUAGGGUAUUGGCCUACCGUGGCUUUGACGGGUAACGGAGAAUUAGGGUUCGAUUCCGGAGAGGGAGCCUGAGAAACGGCUACCACAUCUAAGGAAGGCAGCAGGCGCGUACAUUACCCAAUCCUGACACAGGGAGGUAGUGACAAGAAAUACCAAUAUGCGGCUCAUAUGUCUUGUAAUUGGGAUGAGUAUAAUUUAACCCGCGUUACGAGUAUCAAUUGGAGGGCAAGUCUGGUGCCAGCAGCCGCGGUAAUUCCAGCUCCAAGAGCGUAUAUUAAAAUUGUUGCGGUUAAAACGCUCGUAGUUGGAUAUUUGUUGAGAACUGCCGGUCUAGGCCANUGGUCAGCACACGGUUUGUUCUCGGCACUUUCCUGGGGAGAGUGUUUGCACUUCACUGUGUGGCACAUGAUCCAGAUCUUUUACUUUGAGGAAAUGACAGUGUUUCAAGCAGGCGCCUGUCGUGAAUACGUNANCAUGGACCUAAUANCAUGGGACCGCGGUCUGAAGGCUGUUGGNUUUUGGGCCHUGGGAAUGAAANUAGGGAUAGNUGGGGGUAUUCGUAU
This 744-nucleotide ribosomal RNA is filed under the name Uncultured marine alveolate Group I DH145-EKD4. RNAcentral's name for it is "bacterial SSU rRNA". It matches the Rfam family "Eukaryotic small subunit ribosomal RNA", at positions 142 to 908 of the family's 1831-position model. The record is from RNAcentral.